GCGCUAAGGUGGAGUAAGGCGAACAUCGCUGCCCGGAAAGCAGAAGAUGCGGGUUCAAGUCCCGCAUGGCGCA
Non-coding RNA from Heligmosomoides polygyrus, 73 nucleotides. Lineage: Eukaryota; Metazoa; Nematoda; Chromadorea; Rhabditida; Heligmosomidae. The record is from Rfam.